UCGUCUCUUCGCCGCCGCGUCCGCCAGGCCUCCAACGAAGACCCACCAUAUCCCACAUUCUUGUCGCACCGCCUUGUUGUUUGCUGUCGUCGCAGCACUUCUGCGAUCAUGCGCCGCGCCAUAUCGUCCACUCUCACCCGUGGCGCCCGCACUCUUGGCGUCAAGUCGGGGCUGUUUCAGCUCACGCAGUACCGCUUCCAGUCGCAGCCACCGCCUGGUGUGCCGCAGGGCCGGCAUCAAGACACGAAUGCCGCUCCUGCGGGAUCGAAGCGCAGCGACGACGCGCAGCCAGAGUUCGAGCCCCCGAAGAAGCCGACAGAGGUGCCCAAGUUUGUGAGAAUCAACACAAAUGAGAAGGGCAUCACAAACGUGCAGCUGGCCCGUGCCCCGGUGAACUCGAUGAGCCUGGAGCUCUUCCAGGAGCUGAACCAGUGGAUGCUGUGGCUUGGAAGCAACGAGGAGACGAAGGCUGUGAUCAUCUCCUCUGCGAUUCCGACAGUCUUCUCGGCUGGACUGGACCUCGUCGAGGUGCAUAACCCGAAGCCGGAUCGCAUCGCGGUCUUCUGGCAGAGCUUCCAGGAGAUGUGGCUCAUCUUCAACUCUUUCCCCAAGCCAAUCAUCGCGGCCAUCACCGGCAACUCACCGGCGGGGGGCUGUAUCAUCGCGAUGGGCUGCGACUACCGUGUGAUGGCUCGCGGGCCGAAGGACAACACGAACAACAACCGGCUCUACCGCAUCGGUCUUAACGAGACGAAACUAGGACUCGUCGCCCCGCCGUGGGUGAUGCCAGCCUAUGCCUACCUGCUGGGCUCGCGCCAGGCGGAGCGGAUGCUGCAGCUGGGCGAGACACCCGUGGCCGACGAUGCGCGAAACCUCGGGCUCAUUGAUGAGGUGGCCGCCGAUGAAGAAAGCACAAUCGAAGCGGCCUACCAGCAGGCGGAACGCUUUCUCAGCGUGCCGCAGCAGUCUCGGUGGAUGGCCCGUGAUAUGAUGCGACGCGAGUACUUGCAGAUGCUUGCUUCGGACGAAGAGCGCAACUACGAUACAGAGUUUUUCACGCAAUUUGUGCAGAGCCCUGAGGUGCAGAAGAACCUUGAAAGCUACCUGGAACGCCUCAAGAGCCGCUCUCGUAAGUAAGGCCGAGUGAUUCUAGCGCGAAUCCGGCGCAUCGGCGUGUUAUUUAUCUCUCUCUUCCGUAUACAUCUGGGAAGCACGGUGCGGCAAUGGCGUCGUUCGCAUGCGCCUUCGUCCUCCCUUUCUCGUGCUCCCGUAGAAGAGAGGACGCAUGAUCGCUGGAGUUGAAAAUGGGGUGAUGUGAUGCGGCCUAGUGUUCACAUGGAUGAUGUCUCGAUAAGCUUGAGAGAAGACUCCUGUAAAGGAGAAGUGCCCU
This 1390-nucleotide unclassified non-coding RNA is filed under the name Leishmania donovani. RNAcentral's name for it is "gene:LdHU3.31.4150(CDS-product:32-trans-enoyl-CoA _isomerase_mitochondrial_precursor_putative)". The record is from RNAcentral. Lineage: Eukaryota; Euglenozoa; Kinetoplastea; Trypanosomatida; Trypanosomatidae.